GUACACGCUGUGACUAGCAUAUCAAUAAGCGGAGGAAAAGAAACUAACGAGGAUUCCCUCAGUAACGGCGAGUGAAGCGGGAAGAGCUCAAAUUUGAAAUCUUGAAAGGUCACCUUUCACGAAUUGUAGUUUAAAGAAGUGUUUUCUGUUACGAUCGUAAUAUAAGUUCUUUGGAAUAGGACAUCACAGAGGGUGAGAAUCCCGUCUAUGAUUGCGAUUUGUAGCUUUGUGAUACACUUUCAAAGAGUCGGGUUGUUUGGGAAUGCAGCCCAAAACGGGAGGUAAAUUUCUUCUAAGGCUAAAUAUUGGCGAGAGACCGAUAGCGAACAAGUACCGUGAGGGAAAGAUGAAAAGAACUUUGAAAAGAGAGUUAAAUAGUACGUGAAAUUGUCAAAAGGGAAGCGUUUAACACCAGUGUUGUUUUCUGAAAAUCAACCUCUGUUAGCUUUAUGCAUGUUUGUUUAGACCUAAUCAGCUAUCUUGCAUGUUCUAUUGUUUGCAGUGGUGCACUUUUCAGUUUACAGGUCAACAUCAGUUUUUUUUACCGUAAAAAAGUUAAAGAAAGGUAGCUCAUGGCUCCGGUCGUGAGUGUUAUAGUCUUUUUCCUAUGCGGUAGGAGAGACUGAGGUCUGCAGUGUAGGCUAUUUGGCUAGAUACUCAGGUGCUAUGUGAUACCAUUUCAUAAACAACUUGUUGAUUAUGUUUUGUCUAUUGCAUACUCGCUUGUACUAUCAUACCUACGCUUAGGAUGUUGACGCAUGAGAUAUACGC
RNAcentral lists this ribosomal RNA (771 nucleotides) under uncultured Neocallimastigales. Its description in RNAcentral is "partial large subunit ribosomal RNA". It matches the Rfam family "Eukaryotic large subunit ribosomal RNA", at positions 22 to 645 of the family's 3401-position model. The record is from RNAcentral. Lineage: Eukaryota; Fungi; Neocallimastigomycota; Neocallimastigomycetes; Neocallimastigales.